CAGCGGGUGCGAAUCCCGUCCGGUAACUUUCGUUCCGACCGGUAGCAACUGGAGCAGUCGUGGAGGCAACAAAGUGGCUGAAGCGUCCAGUGUAGAGGGUUCUUUAAGGAAUAGCGCUCAGAAGGCGAUAACUUUC
Non-coding RNA from Candidatus Accumulibacter, 136 nucleotides. The record is from Rfam. Lineage: Bacteria; Pseudomonadati; Pseudomonadota; Betaproteobacteria.